RNAcentral lists this ribosomal RNA (318 nucleotides) under uncultured Rhizomucor. RNAcentral's name for it is "SSU rRNA". It matches the Rfam family "Eukaryotic small subunit ribosomal RNA", at positions 39 to 352 of the family's 1831-position model. Lineage: Eukaryota; Fungi; Mucoromycota; Mucoromycetes; Mucorales; Mucoraceae. The record is from RNAcentral.
AAAGAUUAAGCCAUGCAUGUCUAAGUAUAAAUAAAUUUAUAUUGUGAAACUGCGAAUGGCUCAUUAAAUCAGUUAUGAUCUACGUGACAUAUUCUUUACUACUUGGAUAACCGUGGUAAUUCUAGAGCUAAUACAUGCAAAAAAACCCUGACUUCGGAAGGGGUGCACUUAUUAGAUAAAGCCAACGCGGGGUAAAACCUGUUUCCCUUGGUGAUUCAUAAUAAUUAAGCGGAUCGCAUGGCCUUGUGCUAGCGACGGUCCACUCGAUUUUCUGCCCUAUCAUGGUUGAGAUUGUAAGAUAGAGGCUUACAAUGCCUA